This 65-nucleotide transfer RNA is filed under the name Ectomomyrmex javanus. RNAcentral's name for it is "tRNA-Pro". Lineage: Eukaryota; Metazoa; Arthropoda; Insecta; Hymenoptera; Formicidae. The record is from RNAcentral.
CAAAAAAUAGUUUAUAAGAAUAUAAAUUUUGGAAAUUUAAGGUAUAAUAUAAAAUAUUUUUUUGA